This 1113-nucleotide ribosomal RNA is filed under the name Triticum aestivum (bread wheat). RNAcentral describes it as "partial small subunit ribosomal RNA". Lineage: Eukaryota; Viridiplantae; Streptophyta; Magnoliopsida; Poales; Poaceae. The record is from RNAcentral.
CUGGAGAACAACGAUGAUAUGCUUUGGGAGAUCCUACUUCGCCUCCCGCCACAACCGUCCUCCCUUCUGCGCGCAUCCACGGUCUGCAAGCGCUGGCGACGUGUCGCCACAGACCCCGACUUCCUCCGCUGCUUCCGUGCUCACCACCGGAAGGCACCCCUCCUCGGCUUGCUCGUGUGUGGCAACAACCACGAGAAGGAGUUCCACUCGGUCAUGGAUCCUCCCAACCGCAUCCAUCCGAAGCACUUCAUCCUUGGACACUACAAUAAACUACGUUACUAUGUGCUCAGUUGCCGCCACGGUAGGGUCCUCAUUGAAGACAUCAAGAGUAAAGAGGUCGUUGUGUGCGACCCCAUCACAGGCGAGCAACAUCGUCUGUCCGUUCCACCAGAGUUCGACAUGAACAAUCUCAGCGGGGCCGUGCUAUGCGCCGCCGGCGAGCAGGGCCAUGUGCACGGCAGCUGCCACUCCAGCCCCUUCAAAGUAGUCAUGUUGUCCAUGUACAUACAUAAUAAUCGACGACCUCUGGUCCGUGUAUUCUCCUCAGAGACCGGCAAAUGGGGCAAUCUCAUCUCAAUAGAGACUCAACCUAAGACUAUUUAUGGCCCUUGCAGUUCCAAUACCCUUGUUGGUAAUGCCGUUUACUGGUUGUCUAGGAGAGACGAUAUAGUUGAGUUUGAUUUGGAGGGGCAGAACCUUAGCCUGAUCAAGGGGCCUCGCAGGAUGAAUGAUUUUGGCAUAUGUCAGUGUCAGAUUAUCCAGAUAGAUGAUAGUAUUGUUGGUGUUGCCAUUUUAUCUUACCAUGACAUUCAAGUGUGGUGGAGGGAGGUCAAUUCUGAAGGUGUUUCCAUAUGGUUGUCCCAAAGGACAGUUGCAUUGCAUAACAUUCUUAACACCCUUCCUCAAAUUUCGGAAACGAUACCGUGGAACAAACUGAUGGGGUAUGAUGAGGAUACCAACGCAAUAUUUUUAUAUAUGCACGAUAGUGCCUAUAUGAUUCAACUCAAGUCAAUGCAUUCCUCAAAACUUGAUGUACGAUAUUCUAGGGAGUACUAUCCUUUUAGGAGUUUCUACCUACAAGGUGAUCACUCAUCCUUUGUCUUUAUGUACUAG